UCCGGUUUGUCACCGGCAGUCUCCCUAGAGUUCCCACCAUUACGUGCUGGCAACUAGGGACAAGGGUUGCGCUCGUUGCGGGACUUAACCCAACGUCUCACGACACGAGCUGACGACAGCCAUGCAGCACCUGUGUCCAGGUUCCCUUUCGGGCACCGCUGCAUUUCUGCAGCGUUCCUAGCAUGUCAAGGGUAGGUAAGGUUAUUCGCGUUGCAUCGAAUUAAUCCACAUCAUCCACCGCUUGUGCGGGUCCCCGUCAAUUCCUUUGAGUUUUAAUCUUGCGACCGUACUCCCCAGGCGGACAACUUCACGCGUUAGCUGCGGUACUGAGAAAUCGCUUCCCCAACACCUAGGUGUCAUCGUUUAGGGCGUGGACUAC
RNAcentral lists this unclassified non-coding RNA (379 nucleotides) under uncultured Gammaproteobacteria bacterium. RNAcentral's name for it is "contains 16S-23S intergenic spacer region". Lineage: Bacteria; Pseudomonadati; Pseudomonadota; Gammaproteobacteria. The record is from RNAcentral.